GGAGGGGUUACUGCGAGAGACACCCAGCGAGGGGCAGCCUAGAGCUGCAAGGGGAAUUUAGAGCAAGGGGGAUACGAGAAGGUUCCUGACAAUUUUAUCCUGUGAGCGUGUAUUACCGUGCGAAGGCAUUAUUAAUUGAAUUCCAGAUUUCUCCCAAAUGUGUUUGACAAGACAACAGGAAAAACUCGAUCAUCUUGUGCUCAUGGGAAGUGCUCUGUCUAGGGGUAUACAUGCAGUAUAUAGCAGCGCAGAGACGUCAAAUAUGGACAUUAAAUGACGCUGUUCUUUCAAGCGAGCAGUAUCCAUCUGUGGCGUGAAUGAAGCAGGGGUCUUGUGGAAAUGUAAGUUAGGGACUUCUCAAAUUAUAUUGCGAGGGUGUAGGGNNNNNNNNNNNUAAAAGUUGCACAAACAACAUUGAUUCCUUUGUUUCCUUAGAAUCUCUCUCUCUCUCUCUCUCUCUCUCUCUAUAUGUUAUAUAAAAAUAGUGGACUUUGCUGUUUCAGUAACAUUCACUUAGAGGGGUUUAAGAGAAGGCCUC
This 538-nucleotide long non-coding RNA is filed under the name Struthio camelus australis. Its description in RNAcentral is "lncRNA (ENSSCUG00000000783.1)". Lineage: Eukaryota; Metazoa; Chordata; Aves; Struthioniformes; Struthionidae. The record is from RNAcentral.